Molecule: ribosomal RNA, 590 nt
Filed under: uncultured archaeon
Lineage: Archaea
Description: bacterial SSU rRNA
Rfam family: Archaeal small subunit ribosomal RNA
Source: RNAcentral
CCAGGCCCUAUGGGGCGCAGCAGGCGAGAAACCUUUGCAAUGUGCGAAAGCACGACAAGGUUAAUCCGAGUGUCUCCUGCUAAAAGGAGUCUUUUGUCAGUUGUAGAAUCACUGGUGAAUAAGGGGUGGGCAAGUUCUGGUGUCAGCCGCCGCGGUAAAACCAGCACCUCGAGUGGUCAGGAGGUUUAUUGGGCCUAAAGCAUCCGUAGCCGGUUGCAUAAGUUUUCGGUUGAAUCUAUGCGCUUAACGUAUAGGCCGCCGAAAAUACUGUGCAGCUAGGGAGUGGGAGAGGUACACGGUACUCGAUAGGAAGGGGUAAAAUCCUUUGAUCUAUUGAAGACCACCUGUGGCGAAGGCGGUGUACCAGAACACGUUCGACGGUGAGGGAUGAAAGCUGGGGGAGCAAACCGGAUUAGAUACCCGGGUAGUCCCAGCUGUAAACGAUGCAGACUCGGUGAUGCAUUGGCUUGUGGCCAAUGCAGUGCCGCAGGGAAGCCGUUAAGUCUGCCGCCUGGGAAGUACGUACGCAAGUAUGAACUAAAGGAUUGGCGGGGGAGCACCACAAGGGAGAAGCCUGCGUUCAAUGGAGU